Molecule: long non-coding RNA, 906 nt
Filed under: Homo sapiens (human)
Lineage: Eukaryota; Metazoa; Chordata; Mammalia; Primates; Hominidae
Description: non-protein coding BNC2-AS1:13
Source: RNAcentral
CCUCCCUCACUUGAGCACAAUCCAAGAUGAAAGUUUCUGGGUUGUGUCCCCUUCGCUUCCUCUCACCCUCGCUCCCCCGCGGAGCCAAGGAGCCAGCAAUUGUGCAAGAGGAGACCGGCGCACAGGGCGCGUAUCACGGAGCGCAUGGUACGAGCCGCCGGCUCCGGUGAUUAAUUAUCAGUAACCGAUGGCCUCGCGCUACCACGUCGGCUUUCCCAGCAGAGCCAGCAAGCCGAACGCCUCCAGCGCGGCCGGGACGGAGGAGCGGCUCUGGGGAAGACGCCGAGGCUGCGCCCGAGGGAGAGCGGGCCGGAGCCGGCGAAGGGAAUGCAGGGGCGGGCGCAGAGGGCUGGCUGGCAAGGAGGAGCGGAGCGGAGGAGCGAGGACCGAGCAGCACAGCCCGCCACGCACGCCGACUCCUCCAGCAACCCUCGGCGCUGGCAGCCAAGCCUGCACAGCCUCGUCUCUCUUCUCAGGUCUGAACGAAGCUGCCUCCAGCCACAUGAAGUCAGUAGGGCUGUUCUGAGGGGCCCCGAGAUUUGAUGACUGUUUUUUAGGUUGCGGAACCUACUCCGAGAGAGCAAACACUUUGGACGAAGUGAUUCAUAUUGAUAGAUACAUUUGUUGGGAGGUGGCUUUUUUCAUUCUCAACAGAAAACAAAGAAAUAAAUUAAGUCUUCCCCUGACCCAGAUUGUACUGUGAAACUUUUCAACAAUGUCUCUGCUUUCUUUUACUUCGGUAUCCUUUCCCCUUUUUCUUUUAAGACGCCCUUAGGGAAACCAUGAAGUAACCCUGCACAUUCCAGUAACACAGUUAUGACAAAACAAGAGCCUAACUAGGAAGUGACCACAUUUUAAAAAGUAUUUAGAAAGAAAAACACCAGAAACAAAAGUGCCCAUAACAAU